GUAUGUUCUCAUAUAUGAGCAUCAACAGUUCUCAUACAAUUUCUCACUAACAGUGUAGAACAAGACACGUGUUCAGGAAAAAAAUAAAUAAAUAUAACAGCAAUAAUUGUGAACUUCCAGGACAAGGUGUUCUGCAGACAAUGAUACAGCAGUUAAGGUCAGGAAAAGAUAUUAAACUACUCUAGACCAUAUUGGAUCAUAGGUUAUCCUGUGGCAUAGAAGUAGUUCUGAAAUACCUGAGGAAGGACAAGUGAAUAUACUAAGAGCAAGAGGAAUGAUUACAAUCAAAACUAGAAGAUAUGAUUGUAUACUUUGGGGGAUGGAGAACCAUAUUGAUCAUGGAUGAAAUAAUGCAAAAACU
RNAcentral lists this long non-coding RNA (361 nucleotides) under Coturnix japonica (Japanese quail). Its description in RNAcentral is "lncRNA (ENSCJPG00005002486.1)". The record is from RNAcentral. Lineage: Eukaryota; Metazoa; Chordata; Aves; Galliformes; Phasianidae.